Myotis daubentonii (Daubenton's bat) is the source of this 2407-nucleotide long non-coding RNA. RefSeq lists it as uncharacterized. Lineage: Eukaryota; Metazoa; Chordata; Mammalia; Chiroptera; Vespertilionidae. The record is from RefSeq and is a predicted model, not a curated record. The transcript is spliced from 3 exons.
AGUCAUCCCCAGCAUCUAACUAAGGGGCCCGCUGCAGUCAUUGCUCUCGGAUAUUGGGGGCGGGGAGGAUAGGAGAGGCGUGGGCCGGCCAGGAGCUCUCAGUGAGCAAGGCGCGCUUGCAAGCUCAGAACUAUCACUCCAUGCGCUACUUAGUAAAAACAUCACUUUUCCUUUUGCCUUCUUAGAAAGCGGUUCCCAUGGUUACAAGAUAGCGGAGAAUCUUCCAUCCUGGCGUCCCCGGAAGCCCAGAGAUUACUCAGCAGAUGCAAACCUACAGAAGUUGGGUAGAAGGGAAAUCCGGGUAUUGGAACUAAAGUCCCUUUGCAAGGCCUACUACAGCAUAUCGCAGAUGUGGCAUAGACUGAAUGUGACAAAGCUGACAAUCCCAACUGGGUCCGCUCCCCACUCUCGCCCUUCCAGAGGGCACACGAAAUGGGAACUGGCCUUGGCAGUGUUGGCCUCGGUCAGAUGACUCGCUCUUCUUGGCGGCUCUUACUGUGCUCCUCCAGAGGAAAAGACUCUACAUCUCAUGGAAAAAUCAGGCUCUUCACUCUAUGCCCAAAACAUCCUGUACUCUUCUUUGAUGACUUUAUGAGUUCUUUUUGUACUUUUUAAGUAAAACGUGAGUAUCGUCACCUGGAACAAAUUGCAGGAAAGAUCUUCUGGACAGAUUUCCCCUCCUGGUUCCACAAAGCCAUUUCCCUUUUAAUCUGUGUACAAACCUACAUUUUAAAAUGAUCUGAAUGUUUCUGAACUAGCAAGAACAGUUCCUCCUUGCUUUGAAGGGUAAUUUGUGGCAAGUAUAGCAUAUUCUGGAAGCUUUUCUUUAUGUAAUCAUGUAGAGCUUAACUUCCACAUUUUUUAAAAGUGGGAUAAUUGAAUUGAAUUCAAAGCUUUUAAGCAAAAGGUCUGAUUCCAGACAGACAAGGAGGAAGGUUUACUUGUAUUAUUUUAUAUAUGACCUGUAUUAUGGCAUAUCUGAUAUAUUUAUAUAUACAUAAGUUUAUAUAUAUGUAAAUGUAUAUACUAUAUAUACCUCUUUCUAGCAAAUGAAUACAGGCAAUGUGCCAGAGUUAGUACAGUUGUAAAUUGUCAUUCUCUACUUGAGGGCUCUUUAUUUAAAUUCUCCUAAAAUAUGAUGAAUUAGCAUCAUCUCUCAUUAUUGAAAAAUAGGACAUAAAAACAAAAAAGGACAUCCUGCCUUCACAUUAGGUGGAGUGUUCCUCCAGGUUGAUAUUGAGGAUAUAUGAAGGCUUAUUUCUCAAAUGUGGCUUGACUGGUUUAACUAGUAAUACGAGUUUUUAACUGGGUCAUAAAAAGAAGUAUGAAUGCUCCCUUUCAUACAAUGGUCCUUUAUAUAUAGAAAAGAAAUUUCUGCCCUAGCCGGUUUGGCUCAGUGGAUAGAGUGUCAGCCUGCGAACUCAAGGGUCCCAGGUUCGGUUCCGGUCAAGGGCAUGUGCCUUGGUUGCGGGCACAUCCCCAGUAGGGAGUGUGCAGGAAGCAGCUGAUCGAUGUUUCUCUCUCAUUGAUGUUUCUAACUCUAUCCCUCUCCCUACCUCUCUGUAAAAACUCAAUAAAAUAUAUUUAAAAAAAAAAGAAAAGAAAAGAAAUUUCUUUGGACAAAUAUUUCUUCUCUAGUGGAUUUGAAAAACAUAAGUUUGAAAGUUCACAUGUAUCUAAAUUUGCAUUGUUUAAUAAUGCAAAUCAUCAUCCCCUAAUAUACCUAUUUUGUAAGCUUGUUAUUUUCAUAGAUUCUUUGAAGCAUUGCCUUGUAUGAAAAAAUAUGUUCUUAAUAGUUGUUCGGUGGAUUAAAAAGUGAAUUGUUUGUGUAUUUUUCUUAGGGGAAAAGAAAAAAGUAAAAUAAGUGCUUGGGAUUGUUGGAGAAGGCUCAACUGGAAUGAAAAUGUACAUUGUGUUAAGGUUCCAACCCAGGCUCCACAAACCAUCUAACCUUAGGGCCUUCAGAAAUACUUUAGAGUUCCACAAAUAUUAUGUUUUGAAAGUAUAUAUAAACUAUUCUAUUAACUCUAACAAAGCAGUAGCAUCUACACUCAAUUGUAGUGUAGCUUUGAUUUUAACAUAUUAAAGAUUACCAGAUGAUGCAGUUGGGAGGCAGACCUCAGAGUAAUAUAUGACAAAGUUGGCCUUUUUAAGCAGUAGAAAAAGAUGAACAACUCCCUACAUUUGGGUUAGGACAAUUCGCUGUAAAUUUUAAAAAAUAAUAGAUCAUUAUUAUCAGGAUAAAUAUAAAAGACAAUCCAGGUUGAUUGAGUUACUAAAUAUAUUUUAGAAGGUUAUUAUGCCACCACUGAAAAAUAAAAAAAAUUUAAGUAUGUGUGGAAAUGUUUAGGAUAAUUGUAAAAGGCAGAAUUUAAAUUGUGCUAUGUAAUGAUCACAGCUGUGUGUU